RNAcentral lists this ribosomal RNA (482 nucleotides) under uncultured bacterium. RNAcentral's name for it is "partial 16S ribosomal RNA". It matches the Rfam family "Bacterial small subunit ribosomal RNA", at positions 28 to 507 of the family's 1533-position model. The record is from RNAcentral.
GAUGAACGCUAGCGGCAGGCCUAAUACAUGCAAGUCGGACGGGAUUCAGGAGCUUGCUUCUGAUGAGAGUGGCGCACGGGUGCGUAACACGUAUGUAACCUACCUUUAUCAGGGGGAUAGCCUCUCGAAAGAGAGAUUAAGCCCGCAUAAAAUCACAGCACAGCAUUGUGUAAUGAUCAAAUAUUUAUAGGAUAAAGAUGGGCAUGCGGAACAUUAGCUAGAUGGCGGGGUAACGGCCCACCAUGGUGACGAUGUUUAGGGGAUCUGAGAGGAUGGCCCCCCACACUGGUACUGAGACACGGACCAGACUCCUACGGGAGGCAGCAGUAAGGAAUAUUGGUCAAUGGGCGGAAGCCUGAACCAGCCAUGCCGCGUGCAGGAAGACGGCCCUACGGGUUGUAAACUGCUUUUAGACGGGAAUAAACCCAGAUACGUGUAUCUGGCUGAAUGUACUGUAAGAAUAAGGAUCGGCUAACUCCGUG